GACGAACGCUGGCGGCGUGCUUAACACAUGCAAGUCGAACGGAAAGGCCCUGCUUUUGUGGGGUGCUCGAGUGGCGAACGGGUGAGUAACACGUGAGUAACCUGCCCUUGACUUUGGGAUAACUUCAGGAAACUGGGGCUAAUACCGGAUAGGAGCUCCUGCUGCAUGGGGGGGGUUGGAAAGUUUCGGCGGUUGGGGAUGGACUCGCGGCUUAUCAGCUUGUUGGUGGGGUAGUGGCUUACCAAGGCUUUGACGGGUAGCCGGCCUGAGAGGGUGACCGGCCACAUUGGGACUGAGAUACGGCCCAAACUCCUACGGGAGGCAGCAGUGGGGAAUAUUGCACAAUGGGCGGAAGCCUGAUGCAGCAACGCCGCGUGCGGGAUGACGGCCUUCGGGUUGUAAACCGCUUUCGCCUGUGACGAAGCGUGAGUGACGGUAAUGGGUAAAGAAGCACCGGCUAACUACGUG
Molecule: ribosomal RNA, 468 nt
Filed under: uncultured bacterium
Lineage: Bacteria
Description: partial 16S ribosomal RNA
Rfam family: Bacterial small subunit ribosomal RNA
Source: RNAcentral